This 80-nucleotide small RNA is filed under the name Olea europaea subsp. europaea. The record is from RNAcentral. Lineage: Eukaryota; Viridiplantae; Streptophyta; Magnoliopsida; Lamiales; Oleaceae.
UCAGAGAAACCCCAAGAUUAAUAAAAAUGGGCAAUCCUGAGCCAAAUCAAGUUCAACCAAGUAUUUUGAAAAUUUCAAGU